Molecule: ribosomal RNA, 340 nt
Filed under: Picipes tubaeformis
Lineage: Eukaryota; Fungi; Basidiomycota; Agaricomycetes; Polyporales; Polyporaceae
Description: SSU rRNA
Rfam family: Eukaryotic small subunit ribosomal RNA
Source: RNAcentral
GCGGCUACACUGACAGAGCCAGCGAGUUUUUUUCCUUGGCCGGAAGGUCUGGGUAAUCUUGUGAAACUCUGUCGUGCUGGGGAUAGAGCAUUGCAAUUAUUGCUCUUCAACGAGGAAUUCCUAGUAAGCGUGAGUCAUCAGCUCGCGUUGAUUACGUCCCUGCCCUUUGUACACACCGCCCGUCGUUACUACCGAUUGAAUGGCUUAGUGAGGUCUUGGGAUCGGCUUCGGGGAGUCGGCAACGACACCCUGUCGCUGAAAACUUGAUCAAACUUGGUCAUUUAGAGGAAGUACAAGUCGUAACAAGGUUUCCGUAGGUGAACCUGCGGAAGGAUCAUUA